This 1061-nucleotide long non-coding RNA is filed under the name Lepisosteus oculatus (spotted gar). RNAcentral describes it as "lncRNA (ENSLOCG00000021130.1)". Lineage: Eukaryota; Metazoa; Chordata; Actinopteri; Semionotiformes; Lepisosteidae. The record is from RNAcentral.
GGGCUGGUCUGUGUCUGCACUGUGAUCUACUCACUGGGCUGGUCUGUGACUGCACUGUGAUCUACUCACUGGGCUGGUCUGUGUCUGCACUGGGAUCUACUCACUGGGCUGGUCUGUGUCUGCACUGGGAUCUACUCGCUGUGCUGGUCUGUGACUACUCUGGGAUCUACUCGCUGUGCUGGUCUGUGACUAUUCUGGGAUCUACUCACUGUGCUGGUCUGUGACUGCUCUGGGAUCUACUCGCUGUGCUGGUCUGUGACUGCACUGAUCUACUCGCUGUGCUGUAUUGACUGCACUGUGAUCUGUUCACCGUGGUGGUCUGUGAUUACUCUGGGAUCUACUUGCCGUGCUGGUCUUUGACUGCACUGUGAUCUACUUGCUGUUCUGGUCUGUGUCUGAACUGUAAUCUAUUUGCUGUGCUGAUCUGUGACUGCACUGGGAUCUAUUUGCUGUGCAUGUCUGUGAUUACGCUGGGAUCUAUUCACAGUGAUGUUCAGUGACUAUGAUGGGAUCUAUUCACGGUGAUGUUCAGUGACUACGAUGGGAUCUAUUUGCUGUGCUGGUCUGUGUCUGCACUGUGAUCUACUCGCUGUGCUGGUCUGUGGCUACACUAAAAUAACUUGUGUUGCAAACCAACAGUGAACUUUCAUUUGUUUCAGGAAAUGAAAAGACAACACAAUCAAGAUGCAAAGCUCUUUAAUUUCUGAUAAAAGUUCAAUGACAAAAUGAUUAUUUAUUAUCUACGUAUUGUUUCUCCUUAAUUAGAAACAAAUAGUAUAGGAAAUACUAUUUAAGUUUAUAUUUAAAUUUAAUUAUCAGUCCCAAAGUUUUUAAUAUAUUUUUUAAGAAAUUAAACUUAUGGGGGACCGCGAUCCCAUUUUCUCAGUUAUCAAAUCUUGGUAAGAAAAUAAAUUCAUUUUUACUGAAUGUAAAGUUUUUAUAAAUUUUGAAUUGAGCACAAAAAUGUGAACUGUGUAAAAGUACUGUAAGUCGCCAUGCUGUUAGUCACAGUUCGGCUCCAUGACCUGCGAGGUGAGGCGGCCCUUCCUGCUCACUAGUCC